UGGAAUUGUCUCCCUUUCCUACCUUUCUUCCUGUCUGCUUGCACUUAUUAACGCAGCUUGUCUUCUGCUUCCCCGACCUCAUGAAGGGAACUUGCGCCAACACACAUUAACAUCACUGCGGAAUUCUCUCGAAGACAGGAAUAGCACUGCAUAGGAUUAGGAUACAGAUUGUCCCGCUUAAAGCUUUGACACCGCAACACCUCUUUCUUCCCUUGACUACUAACUGUAUGAAGUGAAUCUAUCUCUUACCUCUUAUUACCCAGGAAGUGAAUCUAUCUCUUACCUCUUAUUACCCAGAUCUAUAUGAAACUCGCCAUUGGGAUUCUUAUUCUUCCUCGACCAACCUAAACUUAAAGUGAAGGACCAACAACAGCACAAGUUUCUUACGCGGAGGCAGUAAGUGUACGAGUUGACCGGGCAGUAAGUGUGAUGGAAUUUACGUUUGUUUUAUGAAGUUAAGGAUCGAGGUUAGGUAGAGCAGGAGAAGGAGCAGAUGAAGCCACAAUUCCAGUUCCUUUCGGAUUCUCAAUCUGGUGUGAAAGCCUAUAACUACUGUGUUCAAGCCUAUAACUCCAAAUAAAGUAUUCUACCGGCCCACCGAUUGCCCGAACUCAUAC
RNAcentral lists this long non-coding RNA (617 nucleotides) under Musa acuminata (dwarf banana). RNAcentral describes it as "long non-coding RNA (MACU_LNC007495)". Lineage: Eukaryota; Viridiplantae; Streptophyta; Magnoliopsida; Zingiberales; Musaceae. The record is from RNAcentral.